AGUACCAAAAUUAAACUCUAAAAGUUAUCAAAACAUUAAAACUCUAAUUAUGAACAAAAUCACCUUCUAACCAUGUCUAAACAGCAUGGGCUUAGAACAGUUCCAAGCCCAAUCACAGGGGAGGUAUGGACAGGAUGAGUAGGGUGCACAGAGAAUUGCAUUGGGCCUAAUUGAGAUAGAUGAGCCCAAAGUGAAGGAACAUGAAGCAACGUGAGGUUCACUUCGUUCUUCCUCACACUCACUCUUGGGAGUUCACAGAAGAAACAGGCGACAGACCUAGCCGCACCGGUUCGUCACCAGUUGCGGCGAUUCAAAAUCGUCCAAGCUCUCACACAGCUCUCCGACAUCUCUCCUAACCGAGACGCAACACCUCUCCACCUAAACCAAAUGAAUCGCUAACGUGAGAUUUCUACAUGGAUCGAAUCGAGCGUCAAAUCGGAACAAGGAAUCGGAAUCGAACAAGCAUCUCACCACAACAAAUUAAUCGACUAACGCUAAGAAAUGAGGGGGCUUGCCGGUGAUGGCGAAGGUGAAUCCUCCAGUGAAUGUCGGAUUCGAAGCUCAGGUACUUGCUCUUCGUGCUAGUUGAUUCUUCGAUUUCUUGUCACGAGUUUAUUCUGUUACGUGGCUAAGCUUUUGGUUUCGCGAUUGCUCGGUUUCAUGAUGAACUGUGAUUCUUCUUCUUGAAUAUUCACUGGAAUUGGUGGUGCGGUAAGAGCUGUGAGAUGAAGAAUUUUGUGUGGUGAAGAAUGAAGAAAUUAGUGAAAAAAAUGGAACUCGCGAGCCCUUUUUUGAAUGGAGAAGAUGAUGGAUGAUUUAUAGGGAUUGAAGUUUUAACAGAGUUAGGAUUCUGUUAGCAUCACCAGGCUCAAAUUGGUUAGAAGUUCGAAUCUCUUUAGUUGAUCCGUUAAAUCUGGUUAGCUUUUAGUGCAGUUAAAGUAUGAAUUUUCUCUAUUCUGUUUUUCAGUUGGGUGUUGGAUUUGCAGGUUUUAUGCCGCUUCCAUUUGGCUUUGGAUUCAAGUCGUCGUUUUAAGAUGCGGCGUUCGCGUUUGUAGAUGGUGUUUAAUGUGCUGUUGUGCUGUCGUCGGUUGGCUUUGCAGCGGCUUUUGAUGUUAUUGCUGUUUGGCUUGUCGUAUUGAUCUGCAGCGACCUGUCUUUGUUGUGUUCAUGCAGCGACCUGUCUUUGUUGUGUUCAUGGCUAUCACUGAAACCGAUAGGAUCUUCUGCACUAGAUGUAGUAGCUACAAUUGAAUAAAUGAAUUCAGUUAGAAAUUGAGUUAAAUUUGGGUUACUAGCCGUGACAUUUUUCUCUUAGAAAUGGUAGAAACCUUAUUUUCAUCAUCAUUGGCAUUAUUUGCAACAUUACAUGGUUGCAACAUUUCAUGGGCAUUUGGAUAUAAGUAUUGGACAUGGAUAUUGUAGCGGAGUAUUCGUUAUCUUUAGAUUUAUUGAUUAAAUCAAAAGUAAAUCAUACAAUUCAAGUCGCCGCCGCACUUCUAUUUAUCCAAAGGAAAUGUUAGAAAGCGAACAAAAACCGAGAAGUUUUAUCAAAUUAAAAACUAAUAAAAAUGUGGGAAGGUUUUAAGCACCCAAAACAUCUUUAGUACUCUAAGGGAACCCUUUUUACAAAUGUUGUAAGGUAGGUUGGUAUUUGUGAAA
RNAcentral lists this long non-coding RNA (1659 nucleotides) under Lathyrus oleraceus (garden pea). RNAcentral's name for it is "Pisum sativum (pea) long non-coding RNA (PSAT_LNC011227)". Lineage: Eukaryota; Viridiplantae; Streptophyta; Magnoliopsida; Fabales; Fabaceae. The record is from RNAcentral.